ACGUAGGUGGCGAGCGUUGUCCGGAAUCACUGGGCGUAAAGGGCGCGUAGGCGGCGCGGUAAGCGUGCGGUGAAAGCCCGGGGCUCAACCCCGGGUCGGCCGUGCGGACUGCCGGGCUCGAGCACUGUAGAGGCGGGUGGAAUUCCGGGUGUAGCGGUGGAAUGCGUAGAGAUCGGGAGGAACAUCUGUGGCGAAGGCGACUGCCUGGACCAGCACUGACACUGAGGCACGAAAGCGUGGGGAGCAAACAGGA
This 253-nucleotide ribosomal RNA is filed under the name uncultured prokaryote. RNAcentral describes it as "partial 16S ribosomal RNA". It matches the Rfam family "Bacterial small subunit ribosomal RNA", at positions 525 to 777 of the family's 1533-position model. The record is from RNAcentral.